This is a non-coding RNA of Brachypodium distachyon (stiff brome), 125 nucleotides long. NCBI's taxonomy places the organism in Eukaryota, Viridiplantae, Streptophyta, Magnoliopsida, Poales, Poaceae. The record is from Rfam.
CAUAUACUCCCUCCGUCCCAUAUUAAGUGACUUUCUAUUACAUGUAUCUCGACGCUUUUUAGGCAUAGAUACAUCCAUAUUUUGGCAAAUUUGAGUCACUUAAUAUGGGACGGAGGGAGUAGUUC